RNAcentral lists this ribosomal RNA (543 nucleotides) under uncultured Clostridium sp. RNAcentral describes it as "bacterial SSU rRNA". It matches the Rfam family "Bacterial small subunit ribosomal RNA", at positions 91 to 650 of the family's 1533-position model. The record is from RNAcentral. Lineage: Bacteria; Bacillati; Bacillota; Clostridia; Eubacteriales; Clostridiaceae.
GACAGCGGCGGGCGGGUGAGUAACGCGUAGGCAACCUGCCCCUGACAGAGGGAUAGCCAUUGGAAACGAUGAUUAAAACCUCAUAAUGCCGAAGGAACACAUGUUUCAUCGGCCAAAGAUUUAUCGGUCAGGGAUGGGCCUGCGUCUGAUUAACUAGUUGGUGAGGUAACGGCUCACCAAGGUGACGAUCAGUAGCCGACCUGAGAGGGUGAUCGGCCACAUUGGAACUGAGACACGGUCCAAACUUCUACGGAAGGCAGCAGUAGGGAAUCUUGCACAAUGGGCGAAAGCCUGAUGCAGCAACGCCGCGUGAAGGAUGAAGGCCUUCGGGUUGUAAACUUCUGUUCUUAGGGAAGAAGAAAGUGACGGUACCUAAGGAGAAAGCCCCGGCUAACUACGUGCCAGCAGCCGCGGUAAUACGUAGGGGGCAAGCGUUAUCCGGAAUUAUUGGGCGUAAAGAGUGCGUAGGUGGUUAUCUAAGCGUAAGGUUUAAGCGUGCAGCUCAACUGCAUCUCGCCUUGCGAACUGGACUACUUGAGUGCA